RNAcentral lists this ribosomal RNA (253 nucleotides) under uncultured bacterium. Its description in RNAcentral is "partial 16S ribosomal RNA". It matches the Rfam family "Bacterial small subunit ribosomal RNA", at positions 524 to 776 of the family's 1533-position model. RNAcentral also lists the same sequence under 1 other name. The record is from RNAcentral.
UACGGAGGAUGCGAGCGUUAUCCGGAUUCAUUGGGUUUAAAGGGUACGUAGGUGGCCCGGUAAGUCAGUGGUGAAAACCUGCCGCUUAACGGUAGGCGUGCCAUUGAUACUGUCGGGCUUGAGUGCAGUUGAGGCAGGCGGAAUGUGUAGUGUAGCGGUGAAAUGCAUAGAUAUUACACAGAACUCCGAUUGCGAAGGCAGCUUGCUAAAGUGCAACUGACGCUGAUGUACGAAAGCGUGGGUAGCGAACAGG